This 385-nucleotide long non-coding RNA is filed under the name Setaria italica (foxtail millet). RNAcentral describes it as "long non-coding RNA (SITA_LNC002363)". The record is from RNAcentral. Lineage: Eukaryota; Viridiplantae; Streptophyta; Magnoliopsida; Poales; Poaceae.
AGGACGUCUACUUGAAGUAGUAUGGGAGGUCGAGCACGUAGAGGAGGAAGUAGGCCCAGACCACGCCGGAGAUGCCGCCGAAGAAGAAGCCUCCGGUGAACUUGGCCCAGCCGUCGGCGGUCUGCAGCUUGUCGGCCUCCUUCUUGCGGCCGGUGAGCGUGAGCGUGGGCGCCGUGGACGGGUCGCCCUCGUUGAAGGAGGCGACGCCGUACAUGGUGAGGCAGACGCUGAGGAUGGUGACGAGCCCGGCGGCGCCCAGGGCGCCCGCCUGGCCGUGCACGGGCGUGUUGCGGAGCGGGCCGGUGAGGGCGAAGGGGCCCACGAGGAGGUAGCCGUGCGCAAGCCCGACCUCGAUGCCGCGGAGCAGCGGGCUCACGGCGGUGCG